This is a long non-coding RNA of Lates calcarifer (barramundi perch), 1022 nucleotides long. RefSeq lists it as uncharacterized. Lineage: Eukaryota; Metazoa; Chordata; Actinopteri; Centropomidae. The record is from RefSeq and is a predicted model, not a curated record. The transcript is spliced from 3 exons.
AUAGUUAUUGAUUAGAAUAAUUCAUUAAAAUCCAACAUUGAUGUUGUUUACCAGAAUUAAUUUUGUUAUUUGCAGUUUCUCUCUGCAAAAUACAACCUUUUUUUUUCUCUUUUUGUUUUCAAGAGAUUUUUUUAGCUCUCACCAGGCCUUUACUUUUAAAAUAGAUUUUUCAGUGACACAGUUAUGUACAUUUAUACCAGACUUUGCAUUAAGAUCAAAUUAUUUAUACAUCUGAGUAUAAUGAUAAUUUGUCGUAUAUCAGUCUUUAUUCAACCAGCAAUUCUCUUAAAACACAUUUGUAACACUUAAUAAUCUACUAUAACUGAAAGCAGAUAUAAGUAACUUAUUAAUAAUAAGUUACUUAUAUCUGAUAUAACUGAUAUAACUCCUCCUGUGGGCUCCUAUAAGUGGACGUAUAAAGACAAUACAGUUAAACACCGGUAUAAAAAUAUAAAAUAUAUCUUUAUAGGGGACAUUAUAAAUGUUGACAAAUACUGUAUAGUGUUAAACACAGUGUCCUUAUGUCAUUAUACACCAUGUAUUAAAUGUUUAUAUACUGCUAAUAAAUGGUAAGUGUGAGCAAAGGCUGAUCUACAACAAAAAAUUGUCCAAAUGAUUUGAUCUUCCACUUAAUGCAAAGUCUGGUAUAAAUGCACAUCAUUUAUUACAACAAGACAGCUGCAGGCAGAGUGCACAGUGUCUUCUUGUAAUACAUACUCUUUCUGAUUAAUUAUUUACUUGACCAAAGUGGAAACACACGGCCUCAGGGAAAAGAAAAAAAAAAAAAUCCUUCAUUAUAUCACUGAUUUCUCACCUGUGUGUGUGUGUGUGUCCGUAGAAAUGUGCAGAAAUCUCAGUUGCAGUGUCGGCAGGUCAUCGGUGUCCAGGAGCCCAGGAGGCAUGGACAACCCACCGUCCCCUACACCGUGGAAAAGACCUUGAUAUCGCUGGCUGCUCUGCUAUUGAAUUCAGCCUGAUUGGGCCACAAAAGGAAUUGACCAAUCUGCUGCUGCAGGGCAAGG